CGGACGGGUGAGUAACGCGUGGGUAACCUGCCCUGUACACACGGAUAACAUACCGAAAGGUAUGCUAAUACGGGAUAACAUAAGAAAUUCGCAUGUUUUUCUUAUCAAAGCUCCGGCGGUACAGGAUGGACCCGCGUCUGAUUAGCUAGUUGGUGAGGUAAUGGCUCACCAAGGCGACGAUCAGUAGCCGACCUGAGAGGGUGAUCGGCCACAUUGGAACUGAGACACGGUCCAAACUCCUACGGGAGGCAGCAGUGGGGAAUAUUGCACAAUGGGCGAAAGCCUGAUGCAGCAACGCCGCGUGAGCGAUGAAGGCCUUCGGGUCGUAAAGCUCUGUCCUCAAGGAAGAUAAUGACGGUACUUGAGGAGGAAGCCCCGGCUAACUACGUGCCAGCAGCCGCGGUAAUACGUAGGGGGCUAGCGUUAUCCGGAUUUACUGGGCGUAAAGGGUGCGUAGGCGGUCUUUUAAGUCAGGAGUGAAAGGCUACGGCUCAACCGUAGUAAGCUCUUGAAGCUGGAGGACUUGAGUGCAGGAGAGGAGAGUGGAAUUCCUAGUGUAGCGGUGAAAUGCGUAGAUAUUAGGAGGAACACCAGUAGCGAAGGCGGCUCUCUGGACUGUAACUGACGCUGAGGCAC
This 636-nucleotide ribosomal RNA is filed under the name uncultured Clostridium sp. Its description in RNAcentral is "bacterial SSU rRNA". It matches the Rfam family "Bacterial small subunit ribosomal RNA", at positions 99 to 754 of the family's 1533-position model. The record is from RNAcentral. Lineage: Bacteria; Bacillati; Bacillota; Clostridia; Eubacteriales; Clostridiaceae.